GGCCUUCGGGUUGUAAAGCACUUUCAGUAGGGAGGAAGGUAGUGUAGUUAACACCUGCAUUAUUUGACGUUACCUACAGAAGAAGCACCGGCUAACUCCGUGCCAGCAGCCGCGGUAAUACGGAGGGUGCGAGCGUUAAUCGGAAUUACUGGGCGUAAAGCGCAUGCAGGCGGCCUGUUAAGUCAGAUGUGAAAGCCCCGGGGCUUAAACCUCGGAAUUGCAUUUGAAACUGGCAGGCUAGAGUCUUGUAGAGGGGGUAGAAUUUCAGGUGUAGCGGUGAAAUGCGUAGAGAUCUGAAGGAAUACCAGUGGCGAAGGCGGCCCCCUGGACAAAGACUGACGCUCAGAUGCGAAAGCGUGGGGAGCAAACAGGAUUAGAUACCCUGGUAG
This 389-nucleotide ribosomal RNA is filed under the name uncultured bacterium. RNAcentral's name for it is "bacterial SSU rRNA". It matches the Rfam family "Bacterial small subunit ribosomal RNA", at positions 413 to 793 of the family's 1533-position model. The record is from RNAcentral.